GACGAACGCUGGCGGCGUGCUUAACACAUGCAAGUCGAACGGUAAGGCCCUUCGGGGUACACGAGUGGCGAACGGGUGAGUAACACGUGGGUGAUCUGCCCUGCACUUCGGGAUAAGCCUGGGAAACUGGGUCUAAUACCGGAUAGGACCACUGCCUGCAUGGGUGGCGGUGGAAAGCUUUUGCGGUGUGGGAUGGGUCCGCGGCCGAUCAGCUUGUUGGUGGGGUGAUGGGCUACCAAGGCGACGUCGGGUAGCCGGCCUGAGAGGGUGACCGGCCACACUGGGACUGAGAUACGGCCCAGACUCCUACGGGAGGCAGCAGUGGGGAAUAUUGCACAAUGGGCGCAAGCCUGAUGCAGCGACGCCGCGUGAGGGAUGACGGCCUUCGGGUUGUAAACCUCUUUCAGCACCGACGAAGCGCAAGUGACGGUAGGUGCAGAAGAAGGACCGGCCAACUACGUGCCAGCCGCCGCCGUAA
RNAcentral lists this ribosomal RNA (478 nucleotides) under uncultured bacterium. RNAcentral describes it as "partial 16S ribosomal RNA". It matches the Rfam family "Bacterial small subunit ribosomal RNA", at positions 28 to 523 of the family's 1533-position model. The record is from RNAcentral.